CGCAAGGCGACAGCCUCCCUGUUGCUGUUGGUCGUCUGGGAGAUUUGGAAAGAAGGGAACGCGAGGGUUUUCCAGGGCAAGUCCACCUUACCCACUAGGGUUGUAGCCUUGACAAAGAGUGAGGCGAGGAAUUGGGUAAUUGUUGGGGCAAAAAAAUUGAGCUCGAUCAUGCCGCGAGAGUAG
RNAcentral lists this ribosomal RNA (183 nucleotides) under Triticum aestivum (bread wheat). Its description in RNAcentral is "partial small subunit ribosomal RNA". The record is from RNAcentral. Lineage: Eukaryota; Viridiplantae; Streptophyta; Magnoliopsida; Poales; Poaceae.